UUGAGGGGAGAGAAGAGGAUUUGUGUUAAUAUUCCUUCAACUUCCAGCGAUCAGGGGUGAGUAUGGCUUUUGGACGGCAUUCUCAGCACUGCUUAUUCUCCUUUUCUUCUUCUUUCCUAGUGAAAUGAAACUUCCAUUUAUUGCAUUAAUGAUGGUAAUACUGUCCCCUUAUCAAGUUUCAAACUUAAGGGGACAAAGGAGGAGGCCGUUCACUUCUUGUGUGUUUGACUGCUGUUACUUCACUUGUUGAGAAGGAUGAGGUUGAUCCAAAGCAAAUUGGUAGACUGGAAGUUGGAAUCCUAUCAAAAUCCAUUGUGUUAUUCACAUUCUCUUCUACUUAAACAGAAAAUGUAGGGUAUAUUAUCUGUUGUAGGGUAUUCAGCUGAAGGUUGUAUGAAUACAUACC
Long non-coding RNA from Ipomoea triloba (trilobed morning glory), 406 nucleotides. RefSeq lists it as uncharacterized. The transcript is spliced from 5 exons. Lineage: Eukaryota; Viridiplantae; Streptophyta; Magnoliopsida; Solanales; Convolvulaceae. The record is from RefSeq and is a predicted model, not a curated record.